Molecule: long non-coding RNA, 440 nt
Organism: Nilaparvata lugens (brown planthopper)
Lineage: Eukaryota; Metazoa; Arthropoda; Insecta; Hemiptera; Delphacidae
Exons: 3
Source: RefSeq, a predicted model, not a curated record
UGAUAAUUUAGUGGUUAUUGAAGUAAAUAUGAAACAUUGUAAUUUUUUCCUACGCUACUUCUUGCUUUAAAGGAUUGAUAUACAACUGAAGUAAAGAUUAUCAGAAGACAUCAGUUAUUCAUGAAGAACAGCUCUACUACAAUAAGAUAUGGAUCGGUGAAUUUGGUACAUCGUGGCUUCUCUUCUCCAGUGUACACAUGUUCAAAACUAUUUAGUGUGCAUGAAAUAGUUACUAAUAUCAAAAUUAUUCUAUUUUACAAUUUAUAUUAUACAAUUUAUUUGUUUUCAAGUACCAUAUGUUUCAGGUUCAUCGCAGCAUCUCUUCUCAAAUAUACAUUAGAUCUCAGUUAUUUUUUCAUUUUCACUCUGUGCAUGCGUUUAGUGAUCAUUUUACAUUUCUAAUUUGUGUUUUUUAUCUACAUUGUGUUUGUUUCUUGUGU